Molecule: RNA transcript, 7513 nt
Organism: Dermochelys coriacea (leatherback sea turtle)
Lineage: Eukaryota; Metazoa; Chordata; Testudines; Dermochelyidae
Gene: PHLDB1
Gene name: pleckstrin homology like domain family B member 1
Exons: 26
Source: RefSeq, a predicted model, not a curated record
AGCUCACAGCUGGCUGCAGCUGCUUUUGGGAGAAGGUGCAGGGGUUGGGGAGAGGUUAGGGCUGUGGGCCCUGCUGGCCUGGCUCUCCCCACUGGGGUCUCCUGCCUUGAUGCGCCUGUCACCUCCCCAGGGAGCUGGCAGUGCAGACUGUUCUCUACUACUUCUCCUACAACUGGGGUAGGCCGCGCCCCAAGGCCACGGGAUGAACAGAGCAUAGGGACAUGAAUGCUCUGCCACUGAAGCUGGUGGUCGGUGCUUGGCCCAGUGCCAGGAUGAGGAUCCAAGGGCAGGAGAGUGCCAGGCACAUUGAUGAAGUUGCCAUGGAAGCUUCAAACAGGAACGUUACCAGCCCGACCCGCAAAGUCCAAGCAAUCAUCCAGAACAGCCCUCUGGACCUAAUAGACAUGGGCAAGGGGCUGAAGGUCCAGACUAACAAGCCACAUCUGGUGAGCUUGGGCAGUGGCCGGCUUAGCACCGCCGUCACCCUCCUGCCCCUAGAAGAGGGGAGGACCAUGAUCGGCUCGGCCGCUAAGGACAUUGUUCUUCAGGGGACUGGGUUGGCCUCUGAGCACUGCUACAUCGAGAAUGUGUGUGGGACCCUCACCCUGCACCCCUGCGGGAAUGUCUGUGUCAUUGAUGGCCUGCAGGUUAAGCAGCCCACUCGCCUGACCCAAGGGUGCAUGAUCUGCCUGGGGCAGUCGACCUUCCUCCGGUUUAAUCAUCCUGCUGAGGCCAAGUGGAUGAAAAGCAUGAUCCCAGCUGGAGAAAGGAGUCCUGGGACCCCAUAUGGACUCGUGGCAGAAUCGGACAGUCUAGUGAAUGGCAACCACCAGCUGUCUCUAAAUGAUGUCCAUAAGGGGCAGAGAGUGAGGCCCCGGCCCAGCCACAGCUCCCUGGUCAGCUCCAUCGAGAAGGACCUGCAAGACAUCAUGGACUCUUUGGUGAUGGAGGACUCGAGCUCUCCCAGGAAAAAGCUCUCUGCCAGUGUCCAGUCCCCUGUGUCCUCAGUGGUGAAUGGUGGUGGGCACUACUUCUUGUCCCCACCCUUGAGCCCUGGGGCCAUGUCUGUGGGCUCCAGCUAUGACAAUGCAUCCCCACCCUUCUCCCCGCUUUCAUCCCCAGCCAGCAGUGGCAGCUACACUAGUCACUCUCCCAGUAGCCAGGAGCAGGGGCCGCCCAUACCCCCAGUGGUGCCAGUGAGAUCUUCCAGCUACAACCAUGCAAUGCAGCCCCCACAGCAGCGGCCACUUCCACCUCCAUGUGGGGGCUCCAGCCUGGACUUGAGGAACAGCACCAUGGACACAAGUGAGACACAAUUUGCAGAGAGUCCCAAGAUGCAGAGGGCAGUGCAUGGCAUUCCCCUGAGCCCCACGCCUGGCCAGAGAGCCCUGCACCCUGAAGGCCCUGGGCUUUCAGCCUUCUCCAGCACCCGGAGAGCUGUUGAGAGCGCACAGCUGGGCCAUCCUAACCAGCACAUGCCCCUGGUGUCUGUAACAGGGAGCCCCCAGGCUCAGCCUACCAGCAGCCCCCGGCUGGCACCCAAAUUUCAGUCACCAUCUGCUCAGAGGUUGAAAAUGGUGGCUCUUCAAGAGCGCCCACCCAGCCCCUUUAGGGAGGGCAGGGAGCCCCCUGGCAUUGACAGGCACCUGGCCUCCAGCCCCUCCCGGCAGGUGUUGGCAAGAGUCUUUCAGCCCCUGGAGACUGCAGGUUUCAUCCACGUCAAUCAGGACAGCCGCUCUCUGCAGCCCCCUGAGAGUCCCAGAAUGAGCAGAAGGAGUGUGGAGAGCAUGAGGGACUUGCCUCCCCUCAGCCCUUCCCUGUCUCGCCGGGCAACCCUGCUGCCCUCUGCCUUGUCUCCCCAAGCAAGGACCCCCCAAGAAAGUCCCUCUCAACAGACCAAGUUGGCCAAGGAGGUUCCUGAGAGCCCUCGCAUCCGGCGCAAGGCAGCCAGGCCCCUGGAGAUGCAUGAAGACUUCUCCUCCUCCUCCUCCUCCUUGACGGGGAAGAAUUUGAGAACCAGAAGCCCCUCACCCAUCUUCCAGGCAGAACUUGCUUCCCAGCAUAAGCCCAGCUUCGGCAUCACCCUCAGCCCUGCAUACAGCCUGGGGUCGCUGGUCGUGCCCUCGCCCCGUCAGAGCCCCCGGGCACAGAGGAAGCUGUCAGGAGAUCUGCGGCUGCCUGUGAGUACGAGGGAGCGCAAAAACAGCAUCACUGAGAUCAGUGACAAUGAGGAUGACCUGCUAGAGUAUCACCGACGCCAGCGCGAGGAGCGACUGCGUGAGCAGGAGAUGGAGCGCCUGGAGCGUCAGCGCCUGGAGACCAUCCUGAACCUGUGCGCGGAAUACACCAGAACUGAUGGCAUCACAGACACAGGCAACUCGCACCAGCACUUCCCGAGUGACGGAGAUGCCACCACCAACAUCCUGACAGCCAGGAGGCACUCCAAGGGCUCAGCCAGCCUGGCUGCCUUGGGCCUUGGCAAGGCCAUAGUGGAGACUGGAGAGGCCACAGGGACCCAGCAGAGGGAGAGUCUGGAGAAAUCAGAUGAGGAGAAUCUGAAGGAGGAAUGUAGCAGCACAGAGAGCACGCACCACGAGCACGAGGACUUAACGGGCUCCAAGACCAAGGAGGCUGCCAUGCUGGAAGAGGAGUGGGUGCGGGUACUGGGCCAUGUGGAUGACCUCAAGAGCCAUGUCAAGGAACUGGAGCAGCAGCUGCAGGAGUCGUCCCAUGAGGCGGAGAUGGAACGGGCACUACUGCAAGGGGAGCAGGAGUCGGAAGUGAUACAGCUGCAGCAGGAACAGAAGAUUGUGCAGCAGAUGCAAGAGAAACUAUGCGAGCUGGACUCCAGCAUCCAGAAGGAGCGGGACAAGGAAAGGGCAAAGGUUGAUGCUGAAAGGAAGGAGCUAGAGAAACUCCAGGCGCUUUACAAUGAGUCGAAGAGCCAGCUUGAUAACUGCCCUGAGUCAAUGCGGGAGCAGUUACAGGACCAGAUGAGAAGGGAGGCAGAGGCCCUGGAGACGGAGACCAAGCUGUUUGAGGACUUGGAGUUUCAGCAGCUGGAAAAGGAGAGUCGCCUGGAGGAGGAGCGUGAGAUCGUGAGCCAGCAGCUCCUGCAGAGCAAGGCUGAUUGCCACCGCAGUAUCGCCAAGAGGAAGGAGCGGGUGGCUGCAUUGGAAAGCCAGGCCAAUCACAUCCGGCUCCAGGCUGCCCAGGAGUCUGAGCGUCUUGCCAAGGAGAAGAAUACCGUGCUCCAGCUGCUGCAGAAGGAGAAAGAGAAGCUCGUCUCCCUGGAGAGACGGUACCAUCUUGUUACCGGCGGCAGAAGCUUCCCCAAAACAUCAUCUGCACUCAGAGAGGAAACACUUCAUAUCUCAGAGCCUUAUGACCUGUUAGAGGAAACUAAGCCCCAGAAACCCCUGCCAGGGGCAACUGCUUCCUUAGGUCCUUUCUCCACCCCCUGUUACCCCAAGAUGCAAGAGGAAUACAUGAGGCUGUCUGAUGUUUUCAGAUUCUACUGCAAUGUGUACGGCCCUGGCGAGGACACUAAAGCUUCCGCUGCUGCCCCUGCUGCUGCUCCACUCUCUUUUUUGCUUGCUGUACCUCCUGCAACCAGUGAGUACGUGACUGUUGACCAGCUCUCAGGGAUUCUGGGCAAUGUCAGAGCUGACCUAGGGCUGGCCCCUCCUGCUUCCCCAUUGGGCCAUCCCACUUCAGGUUUCGCCCCUCAAGCUGCUUCGUCUGCAGGCUGCCUUCCUUCUCCUGUGCCACCUCUCUCCUCUUCCUUCAUCUCUGCUGAGAUGGAGAAGCAGCUUCAGGGGGGCCCAGUGCAGCCUUCUGCCCUGGAUUUAGAGAAGUGGUACAUGGCUGGCUUCGAGGCCUCCUCCCCUGCCUCUCCUCACUCCUCCCCUCCUCCUCUUCCUGCUAAAGCUCACUCUUCUCGAAAGCUGUUCCAGGUCUAUCGUGCUAAGAUGGACAGCGACGCCGGCAGCACCCUCCCACGCACAAAGAGCGGGUCUGCAUCAUCCUCACAGCUCAGUGUGGCCACGCUGGGACGCAGCUCCUCCCCAAAGGGUCCCCUGCAACCACAGAAUGGCACAGGUAGCCUGCCACGGAACCUGGCAGCUACACUGCAGGACAUCGAGACCAAACGCCAGCUGGCCCUGCAGCAGAAGGGGCAGCAGGUGAUUGAGGAGCAGAAGCGGCGCCUGGCGGAGCUGAAGCAGAAAGCAGCUGCUGAGGCGCAGUCCCAGUGGGAAGCCCUGCACGGGCAGCCUCACUACCCCCCUUCUUCCUACCCUCCGCUCAUGCAUCACUCCAUUCUCCAUCAUCAUCCUCCCCAUGGCAUCGGGCACCGGGCCGAGGACAUGGACCACGCCUAUGACACCCUCAGCCUGGAGAGCUCAGACAGCAUGGAAACCAGUAUCUCCACUGGUGGCAACUCAGCCUGCUCGCCUGAUAACAUGUCCAGUGCCAGUGGGGUGGAGGCAGUGAAGAUUGAGGAGAUGGAGAAGAUGCUGAAAGAGGCCCAUGCAGAAAAAUCUCGCCUGAUGGAGUCACGGGAGCGGGAGAUGGAGCUGCGGCGACAGGCCCUGGAGGAUGAGCGCAGGCGGCGGGAGCAGCUGGAGCGAAGGCUGCAGGAUGAGACGGCUCAUCGGCAGAAGCUGAUUGAGAAGGAGGUCAAGAUGCGAGAGAAGCACUACUCCCAGGGCGGCGACUGCCAUUGGGGUGGCACUGAUGAGGCUGCGUUGCUUCUCCAGGCACGGCCAUUGACCAGGUAUCUCCCCAUACGCAAGGAGGAUUUUGACUUGAAGACACAUAUUGAGUCCUCAGGCCACAAUGUGGACACCUGCUAUCAGGUCAUCCUGACCGAGAAGAUGUGCAAGGGCUACCUGGUCAAGAUGGGCGGAAAGAUCAAGUCCUGGAAGAAGCGUUGGUUCGUCUUCGACCGUAUGAAACGCACAGUCUCCUACUAUGUCGAUAAACACGAGACAAAGCUCAAGGGAGUGAUCUAUUUCCAAGCCAUAGAGGAGGUUUAUUAUGACCAUCUCCGCAGUGCUGCUAAGAAAGGACUUUUCAACCUCAGCCUAGCAAAUGUAUGUAUCCCGCCCUCUGGGCUCUGCUGUGCCAAGCACUAACCCUGCUUUCACAAUGGGUUCCCAUUAAUCCUUUGCUGCCAGGAGUGCUCUAACCUGCUUUGUGUUGGUACUAACACCUGAACUCUCAGGCUGCCAGUCCUGGGACCAGGGGACUCUGGGGUUCAGGUGCAGCCAGAACCAGCCUUGUUCCUUCAGAAAGCAGGGUGCGCUCAGCCACCUGUCUCUCUAACCUAACCACACCAGCCCACCCCCUUUCCCUCACUCCCUUUCCAAAACCCCUCUUCCUGGGGGAUGGGUGCCUUGAGGCAAUAAAGUAGCUGAAGCUGCAAGUGCCCUUGGAGUCCCUGGGGAGUGAUGAUGCAGGCUUUCCAGGGGUGAAGGCCCUUUCCAUUCCUGGAACCUUGCAGCAGCUAGCUCCAUCAGCACUGAAUAAGCUGCUGGUUCAUCAGGUGCCUGUUCCCCUCUUGCUAUAAACGUAGCUGAGCUCUGGGGGCCCCCAAUCACUGGACGAGCAAGGGCCAAACUCAGUGUGUUUUUAACAUGCGACUUUCACCCGAGAGGAGAAAUUUCUCAGUUUAAAACCAAGGUUUUGAAAGCUACUAGUGGCACGGUGAUGAAGCAGGGCUGCACUGCUCUCUGUGCAGCCAGGAGACAGCAGGUGUUAAACCCAAACAUUACAGUUUUGCUGGCUGGCUUUAAAAUUAAUAACAAGUGUGGAAAAAUAGCUACCAGUGUACACCUUUGAAUCCCAGCAGCCUUCAUAUGGCGCCAAAGGAGAAAUUUCAGCUGGAAUCUGCUACGGGGAAAUGAGGAAAAUGGAUCUAAAGUAUCUGGGAGUACGUCGUGGAGGGGCAGUAGCAAGAGCCAGCACGAUUUUAUCUGAAGAUAAUGCAGCCUGCUGCUGGAACCAGCAAGUGACCCCUUGAAGAUCAAGAAGCUGCCACCGCUGUUGGGCUGAAGGGAGGGCAGUGCGACUCCAGGAGCAGGCAUGACUAGGCCCUGAGCCGCCUGCCAGUGGAAUUGAUCAAAAAGUCUUGCUGGCCUCUGACAGAGCUGGAAAGUCCCAUAUGCUGCAGAAGGGGAACGUCUCUUUACUUGCACUGUAAUUCCAUGCUGGCAUCAUGGGGGGGAACCCUUUCCAGCACUGUCUUCCCUGAGGCUGCCUAUAGCUGCAGUGGGAGUGUCUGGCUGACGUUGACAGCUUUCUGAAUGAAAUGAGAGUGACUUUUCAGACUCCUGGUGUAGUGGAGCAGAGUUCAGAUACUCAAGGCUGGGGUUACAGAAGAAUCACAUCCAAGCCUGAGGGACGACCAUCAUGUAUCAGGCCUUUGCAUCGCUGUGAAACACUCAGACUUUGAAAUCCCACAAGACUGGCUCCAGGUCUUCAUUCUUCUGAGGCCACUUCAUUGAGUUCCAUGCAGGUCACUUCAUGGGGGUGCGUGUCUUGGAUGAGAUCUUGAAGCUGAAGAGCCAUUCCAUUCUGCCUGGACCUGCAUCUGCAAACAUCAUGCCUACCGUUUCUGCCUUCUUCUCUCUGCCUCAUUGCAGAGAACAAGGGAAAUCAGGGCAGGGAUGAGUCCAGAAGACAGCAAAGCCAUGUCUGAGGAGAGCAUGGUGGCAAGGAACUGCUAUGGCAACAACCCAGAGGAAUAUGGAUGUCCCUGCUUCUCCUUGGGGAGCCUGAACAGCAUUUCCCCAGCUGGAGAAGACAGGACUAGGGAGGUGGUAAUAAGAACUGGCUGGUGGAAGGAGGCGGGGCUCUCACCUGGAGCCCAAGGAAGGAAGUCAAACGAAGGGAGACAGAGUUUGAACCCAGGGUUCACUACAGCCUGCCUAGGCUUGGGGCUUACCAGAAUGGGCUGUGCUUCAGGUCUCUGUACUGCCUUCAGGGUUGCCUAUGUGGAGUUCCAGCUGACUAAUCAAGCCAACAGUUUGGACAACGCUAUGGGAGUAUCAAUGCAAACGCUUGGCGACGUAUCGCAAUGUACAUUCAUCCCUGAGGAGCCUAUGAGUCUCUGGCAAGGCUCUGCCUUGGGUGGACUCACUGAACAGAGCUCACGGGGUGAGGCAGGAGUGCUGCAGGCCCACAGGUCCAGCCUAAGGAGAUGGUGAAACUGUGUGGCUUGCCCUAGUAGGAGAGCGAGCCUGGCACACUGAAGGGGUUCCUCCUAGAGUCCAUUCCAAAGGUGAGGCCAUAGCAGUGAUCCUAUGGAUCUGUGACCCCCUUUAUCCAGUGCUUACCAUGCUCAUCUGUGAUGGGGGGGACCCUGCUUCAAUAUCCCCUCUGCCUGGUUAGUAGAAAGGAUGAGAAGAGGGAUCUUGACUGCCCAGGUGAGUGCUCUAAGCUAUGGGCCACAGAAAUGGGGGGACUGCUCUCAUGCUUGCCUCUUGAAGCUGUUCUACUUGAGUUAACU